Molecule: ribosomal RNA, 301 nt
Filed under: uncultured bacterium
Lineage: Bacteria
Description: partial 16S ribosomal RNA
Rfam family: Bacterial small subunit ribosomal RNA
Source: RNAcentral
CAGCCGCCGCGGUAAUACGAAGGGUGCAAGCGUUAAUCGGAAUUACUGGGCGUAAAGGGCUCGCAGGCGGUUUCUUAAGUCUGAUGUGAAAGCCCCCGGCUCAACCGGGGAGGGUCAUUGGAAACUGGGAAACUUGAGUGCAGAAGAGGAGAGUGGAAUUCCACGUGUAGCGGUGAAAUGCGUAGAGAUGUGGAGGAACACCAGUGGCGAAGGCGACUCUCUGGUCUGUAACUGACGCUGAGGAGCGAAAGCGUGGGGAGCGAACAGGAUUAGAUACCCCUGUAGUCCCUGUCUCUUAUAC